The sequence is a small nucleolar RNA, 105 nucleotides long. Its record names the gene U3. It matches the Rfam family "Small nucleolar RNA U3". Rfam says of the family: Small nucleolar RNAs (snoRNAs) are involved in the processing and modification of rRNA in the nucleolus. There are two main classes of snoRNAs: the box C/D class, and the box H/ACA class. The record is from Ensembl.
AAGACUAUACUUUCAGGGAUCAUUUCUAUAGUUCUUUACUUAAUUAGCAUUCACAUCCUCUGUAAACUCACCCUGGAGGUCUAAGUGAUGUUGUAGAAUGUAGGU